GUCAGUAACGCUCUAUUGUACCUCUCCUUCAAAUAGUUUCCUCAUUUCUAAUUGUAUUUUUCUGACAGAUCCUACCUUCUCUCACUGUGCUUUGGCCAGCCGCAAGAUGCUACUCACAUUACAGUGUCUACCACCUUUGUUUUUAGAUGAUGAAGACAAAUGCAAUGUUUGUUUUAAUCAACAGACUCUCUUCAUUAGAUUUGAC
This is a non-coding RNA of Pelobates cultripes (western spadefoot toad), 205 nucleotides long. The record is from the annotation of a GenBank genome assembly. Lineage: Eukaryota; Metazoa; Chordata; Amphibia; Anura; Pelobatidae.